GACUUGCGGAGUUUUCCAGCCUUCAUCUUUUCUCCUUUGCUGGAUGCUUCCUGCCCUCGAACAUCAGACUCCAAGUUCUUCAGCUUUUGGAGUCUUGGACUUACUGGUGGUUAACAAGGGGUUAUCAGACCUUCAGCCACAGAUUGAAGGCUGCACUGUCAGCUUGUCUACUUUUGAGGUUUUGGGACUCAGACUGGUUCCUUGCUCCUCCGCUUGCAGACAGCCUAUUGUGGGACUUCACCUUGUGAUCAUGUGAUGCUGUGAACCCUCCCCAAGGGAGGUACCAAAAGCCUGCAUGAAGCAAAAACUGGAAACAAAUAAAGGAGAGUAUUGUGACUUUGCACUAAGUUACUCAUUUAUUCACAUAAUUAAUGAGUUUCUAUUAGUGUUAGGCACCGUUCUAGAUGAUGGUAUAAUUAGUUAACAGAAACCUCAUAACUCUCGCCCCCCAUGGAGCUUACAUUUCCAGGGAGGGAGAGAGAUGAUACAACAAUAAGAAAAUACAGAGCUAAUGUCAUUCUAUAUUGUAUAAUUAUGUAAAAUCAAGCCUGAGUAUUUG
RNAcentral lists this non-coding RNA (559 nucleotides) under Pan troglodytes (chimpanzee). Lineage: Eukaryota; Metazoa; Chordata; Mammalia; Primates; Hominidae. The record is from RNAcentral.